Molecule: ribosomal RNA, 245 nt
Filed under: uncultured bacterium
Lineage: Bacteria
Description: partial 16S ribosomal RNA
Rfam family: Bacterial small subunit ribosomal RNA
Source: RNAcentral
UACGAGGGGUGCAAGCGUUGUCCGGAUUUAUUGGGCGUAAAGCGUUUCUAAAGGCGUUUCAUAAAGUCGUACUUCAAAGACCACGGCUCAACCAUGGGAAGGGGUACGAUACUUAUGGAAUUGAAAUCUUUCGGGGUUACUGGAACUAUCGGUGUAGGGGUGAAAUCCGUUGAUAUCGAUAGGAACUCCAAGGGCGAAGGCAGGUAACUAGGAAGUUUUUGACGCUGAUGAACGAAAGCUAGGGG